Long non-coding RNA from Molossus molossus (Pallas's mastiff bat), 395 nucleotides. RefSeq lists it as uncharacterized. Lineage: Eukaryota; Metazoa; Chordata; Mammalia; Chiroptera; Molossidae. The transcript is spliced from 3 exons. The record is from RefSeq and is a predicted model, not a curated record.
CCAGGCAGGUGACAGAGACCGCCCCCGUGUAGACUGUGCUGCUCACGCAGCCCCGCGGGACCUGGGACAGGCCCCAGACCCAACACCAAGAGCACAGACCCAGAGGAAAUGCCCUCUGCAAGCUCUGCGCCCCCUGGCGGAGGGAUCCUGCCAUGCGCGGAGGCGCUGCCUUAGAAAGACGAGCACCGGGCCUCGCACAGGGAGUCACGGACCUAGAGCAGGAGGAGCCCUUGCCCUUGGCGGCAGCACGGACACCGGGAGAGCGUUACGCUGAGGGCAAUACGCCCGUCAGAGAAGGACACGUGCCACAGGGUCACGCACAGCCGGAGUGGAGAGAACAAAUGUGCACAUUUGAAGAACAGGCUGACCUCCAACUUACACCCACGUCUGCAGGU